UACGUAGGGUGCGAGCGUUGUCCGGAAUUAUUGGGCGUAAAGGGCUCGUAGGCGGUUUGUCACGUCGGGAGUGAAAACUCGGGGCUUAACCCCGAGCCUGCUUCCGAUACGGGCAGACUAGAGGUAUGCAGGGGGAGAACGGAAUUCCUGGUGUAGCGGUGAAAUGCGUAGAUAUCUGGAGGAACACCGGUGGCGAAGGCGGCAUUCUGGACCGAAACUGACGCUGAGGCGCGAAAGCCAGGGGAGCAAACGGGG
Molecule: ribosomal RNA, 255 nt
Filed under: uncultured bacterium
Lineage: Bacteria
Description: partial 16S ribosomal RNA
Rfam family: Bacterial small subunit ribosomal RNA
Source: RNAcentral